GAUGAACGCUGGCGGCGUGCCUAAUACAUGCAAGUCGAGCGAACAGACGAGGAGCUUGCUCCUCUGACGUUAGCGGCGGACGGGUGAGUAACACGUGGAUAACCUACCUAUAAGACUGGGAUAACUUCGGGAAACCGGAGCUAAUACCGGAUAAUAUAUUGAACCGCAUGGUUCAAUAGUGAAAGACGGUUUUCCCGUCACUUAUAGAUGGAUCCGCGCCGCAUUAGCUAGUUGGUAAGGUAACGGCUUACCAAGGCAACGAUGCGUAGCCGACCUGAGAGGGUGAUCGGCCACACUGGAACUGAGACACGGUCCAGACUCCUACGGGAGGCAGCAGUAGGGAAUCUUCCGCAAAGGGCGAAAGCCUGACGGAGCAACGCCGCGUGAGUGAUGAAGGUCUUCGGAUCGUAAAACUCUGUUAUUAGGGAAGAACAAAUGUGUAAGUAACUAUGCACGUCUUGACGGUACCUAAUCAGAAAGCCACGGCUAACUACGUG
This 497-nucleotide ribosomal RNA is filed under the name uncultured bacterium. RNAcentral describes it as "partial 16S ribosomal RNA". It matches the Rfam family "Bacterial small subunit ribosomal RNA", at positions 28 to 507 of the family's 1533-position model. The record is from RNAcentral.